CUCACAAACCCAAGAGAUCAUGAUCUGAGCCGAACUUGGAAGCUUAACUGAGCCCCCCAGGUACCCCCCCCCAACUUUAAUAAAUAUUAUCUGAAUUAUUGGUUUCUUUAAAACUUAUAUAUGAUUUAGUCCAUUUCUGACAUUUCCCUAUGAGAGUUCCAAUUCAAAAUAUGGAAUGAACUCAGUAAUAAAAUUUGAUAUUUACUCUUUUAAUGUAUUUGUUGUAAAGCCUAGUGUUCCUUUUCUCUAUGGAAUUGAAUAAAGACUGGGGUGAGUAUGAUGCUGAGUCAGCUUUCUGCAGAAAAAAGUAGAAAUGAGGAACUUGAAUCAAGCUGCUCAAUCCAAAGCACAAGAAAAUGCAUUUUUUUUUUAACAAAACAGAAAAGAAAGUGUUACAGACAUAAACUCCUGAGCUUUAUUUCUACAUCUCCAAAUGCCUGUUGAAAAUUUCUGCUGAGUGACCUGUUAACCUCAAGUUGAAAAAUCCAUCUAAAAUUGGAGUCCUAAUCUUAGCCACUUACUGUCACCAAGUGUCCCCAUUCUUGGAUCACUCUAUUUACUCAGGAGGGAAACUCUGAAAUCAUCUUGGACUCUUCCUUCUCUCUCCUUUUCCUGUAGUCAGUCAUUCACAAGGAGCUGAUCCCAGUUUUUUUUUUCUCUGUACCAAGGGUUAAAAACUGGUGGCCCACAGGACUGCACACACCUCUUUAUGAACGUUUGUGUGAAUGGAUGUGUGAAUGUAUGCAUUGAGCCAAAACAGUUUUUUAUUUAAAUUUGGAUCAGAAUGCCUUUAGGUAUUCUUUAGGGGUACACACUGUCUGGUUAGUCAUUGCCUAUCUUCUUCCAUUCCUCCAGUUCUGUCCAUCUCUUCCUUUCUUAUGCAAAGUUUAGUUAAGUUGCAGAAGAACAGAUUCAAAUCUUACUUGUAGGAAAGUGAAAAAUGGGACUGGCAGCAUCAGGGUAUUCUUUGAUUUUCUGCUAAUUUGAUACAAGCAGUGGGGGUGAUCAAUGUUUUUCCUUGAAAAUAGAAUGCAAUCAUCAUCAAUUUUUAUACCGAACAGGUCCAGUCAUGACUUAAAGCAUGGCAACUCUCCAUGGAAUCUCAGAUUGUUAUUUAAUUCUAGCAAAAUACUAAGACUAAUUAUCGAGAAAGAGCGAGUCACAUUUGAAGAAACUGAUGGAACAGCUCGUAAAUUGGUCUCAUCACAGUCAACCUCUAAACCUCGGCAAAGACAUGGCACGGGCACAGAACCGACCACUGAACAAGGAGGAAGUAGCUGCCAGCGCCUUGUUGGCUUUGUAGGAGGAGGAGGAGGACACCCCCUGCCCCACGUUCAUGUUCAUGUUCAUGUUCCUGACACAUCCGUCCAGACCUCAGAAAACAGCAAUGGAAAUGAGACAUCCUUUUCCUCUGCUAAAGUGAGGAGUGUUCAGAGAAAGAGUCUACAGAGGGGCGGCGUCAGAACUCAGGUCUUCAUGGUAGAGUAACUCAACUUGGCUCCAACCGGGGGAUGAGGUUGGGUUGGUGUAACUUCGAAGGGGAGACCUCUCUGUACAACCACCCAUUUAUAACGCAGAGGAAAUGCUAACAAAUUCUCAUCUGGAAACGCAGAGUUCCUUUUAAAUAAAAAUCUAGAGGUAGUGAAUAAAUGCCAUAGUAUCUGCGAAUUUGACACUACUUUAAUAUUUCAUGUUUACUACUGAGUUACGCUCAGUUUAAAAUGGACAUAAGUGAUUUCUGAAUGAGGGUCCUAACAUUUUUGUAAUCUGAUUCCUUUGGUAUUUACCCAGAUAUAUUCAUCCAGGUAUCUCAGAGUUUUAGCUGAAAAAGCAAAAGGUCCCUUUUCUUUUGGUUUGCCAUUGUGAUACCAAGUACUACUCUAAGGACUCUUUGAGACUCUUUUGGGUCUCUAGUCUGUUUAUUGCAUCUUAGAUAGUUCUGAGUAGAGAUGAAAAGUGGGUCAGGAUACACAGCAAACACGUAUGGAAAUUGUAUGGGAAUUGUAUCAAAUUUUUCAGGGGAAAAAUUAUAUAUUUCAUAUUGAAGUUUAUCAGUAAGGAUCAAAGUUAUUAUAAAAAUGGUGUAACCAAUUUUGAUAUAUGUAUGUCUAUAAAUUCUGUAUUGCCCAAAUAUUUUAGAAAGAAAGGGAUUCUUAUGAAUUCAAUGGAAAACUUCAAAUCUAUUGCUUUUGCUUGCCUUGUGUCACUGAAAAAUGUUCAGUGAGUAGAUGUGUUAUACUUUUUAUACUGAGAUAUUUUAUUUUUGUAUUCAGUAAACUAUUCCAUUAUAGAGAAAUUAUUUUUGUAAAGAAAAGUGGGAAAUCAAUAAGCAAAUAGGAGUGCUUGUUUAAAAUGCCUGUGAUAAUACAAAAGUCACAUUUUUCUCCCUAAAUAUAUUUAGUUCAUAUUAUAGUUCGAUAUAUGGGGAGUCAGUUUAAUUUAUUUAAUGGUGUUUCAUUUUUGGGGUGACUCUGCUAAAUAUUAUAGCUAUUAUUUUGAUUUGACUUACUUUUCCACUUUAAUAAUUACUACUGGUGUCAAUGGUAACAGCUUGGAGGUAUUUUUUAGGGUGUAUCUUAAAAAUUCUAAUUAAGGAAAAGUCUCCUCCCUUCCAUUACAGAAAGAGUUUUUAUUUGGCAAUACAUUAUUAACUUAUAAAUGAGCACUCUAAAAGUGAUUUUUACCUGUGGAUUUUUCUUUUAUUCAUAUGUUAAGAUACUAUAUUUUAUGUAAUUGUAAAUAUAUUUAAUGCUGCUUAUUCAAAUAUGCAUGAAGUUUACAUAUUCUGAAAAGAACCAACUUUCUGACCUAAUUUAAUUAGCAUUAAACAGAAUGUAAACAUGAAUGUCUUAAAAAAUGAACAGCCAGGGGAGCACAAAUUAUGUAGAUAUUCUAAAAUUAAAAAAAAAAAAAAAAAGAAAGAAAACAAUUCACAGCCAGUGAAGGAAACUCAGUAAUAAGAAGCAAGAGGAAAUAACUGCAUUUCAUAAUUUUUGUCACCUGGACCCUAAAGGUGAUGAUAAAAUUCUGUUUUCCUUCCUGGGAUGUUCCAACCUGUACAUGCAUGGAUGCAGCAACAUGUCAACUUACCAUUGCUGAGGUUUUGACUAGAGUUCAACUUAAAUUCUUCUUUUUUAAAGUUCUAGAUGACUGCAACCAAUACAGUGCCAGUGUUUCUUAUAAAAGCUAACAAAUUGGUAAUAAUGAUAAUGGAGUUAGCAAGUUAGUAAGUCUGCAUACCAUAUUGAGAGUUUGACUCUAGUUUAUUUCUACUCUUGCUACUAUCUCACCUGCAUUCCUUGUUUUCCACUCACUUGGGUCUAGGUCAGUGGUUCUCAAAAUGUAGUGUGCGGGGUGACUUGAAGAGCUUUCAGAAACAUUGCUGAGCCACCAGCAGAGUUUCUGAUCCAGUCGGGUUGGGAUGGAGACUGAGAACCUGCAUUCCUAAUAGCUUCGUGGCUAAUGCUGAUGGCUUUGGUCCAGAACUACAGUGGAAGAUGUGCUGGCCUGGAUAAAUUUCAGGAGAGUACUUUUUUUCUGACAUAAGAAGUCCAGGAAUAGUUUAAGAUAGUAUUUGUUACAUAGACAUGUUUUCAUAAGAAUAGAUUAUGAUUUUGCCCAUAUUUCCAAAACUGGACUUGGGUUUUUUAUUUUUUUGAUGUUGACAAUGGUGAAUAAAGGAGGUUUAAAAUAGCAUUAAGCAGGGCACCUGUAGGUGAAUGUCUGACUUCGGCUCAGGUCAUGAUCUCACGGCUCGUGGGUUCGAACCCCGCGUCGGGCUCUGUAAUUACAGCUCAGAGCCUGGAGCCUGCUUUGGAUUCUGUGACUCCCUCUCUCUCUGCCCCUCCCCCUCUGGCUCUCUCUCUCAAAAAUAAGUGAACAUUAAAAAAAAUUUUUAAUGUCAUUAAACAAUAUUUUUUUGUCUAAUAAACAGAAUCUUUUUUGUCUAAUAAAAAUAUUUUAAUAUUAAUUGCUAUUCAAGUCGCCUGCAUUUUUAAUAAUUAGUAUUUUUGAUUAAACAAAAUGCUGUUCACUUUCAUAUGCCAUAUACACCUAUAGCUGGAACUUGACUUAUUUCAUCUGUGCCCUAUUUUAUUUUUAUGAAUGCUGGUGGUGCACACCACUCCCUGCUCACAUCAGGGGUCCCUAAGAUAACCAUUUUGCAAAACCUUUGGAACAGAUUGCUUACACUACUUUGACUCAACUUGCUUCACCCUUCCCUACAUGCAUACAAACCAGGAUUUCCCUGGUUUGAAGUCCAAUCAAAUAUAAACUAUUCCUGGGAUAGAGUGAAAAAGAUGUGAACUCCAGAGUAACUACUGAGUAUAGUGGUCAAUAAUCUGAUCCACACAGAUUUAUUGAGUACCUGUUUUAUGUGUGUGUGUGUGCAUUUCUAUACAGGCAAUUAAUUUAAUUCUCACAACAAAUUUAUUAUUCCAAUUUCACAAAUAAGGAAAGUGAGACAGCCAAAAGAAAUGACUUGUCUAAGUAUCAACAGAUAGAAAAAGACACUUCCAGGAUUUGAGCCUGAACUUUCUGAUGUCAGGUUGAGAAGUCUUCCAACCAUUCUGUUUCUAUUUAAAAAGAAAUCAAAGAGGUCUCAGAGACUUUACCUGCAGUGAUUUUGCCCUGAUUCCUGCUGUGACUACAAGUGCUUCACUCACCGCAGUUGUCCUCAUCCGCUUGGUUGCCACAGUCGUCCACACCAUUGCAAUGAAGAAGCUGAGGCAAGCACUUGGUGAUAUUCCCACAGGGGAAAUAGCCGAGGGAGCACUUGACAUCCUGCCCACUCCCGUGAAGGACUGUGAUGAAGAAGGAGGAGAGAAGGUUAAUACAAAGGCUUGGCAAACAAUGGUUUCUCCCCAGUAUCCUAAAACCUGUAAUCUCAUUCUGGCUUGUACCGCCCACUGUGUGGCCGCCUCACCUUGCUUACUAGCCUUAUGCCAACUGUUUUCCAAGAACCUCCACGCCAAUGGGAUGUUCUCUUCUGUGUCCCCAGAAGAUGCCAGGAUUCUCCUUUCUUUGCCUUUUCUCAUGCUGUUUCCCACGUGGAAUGUCCUCCACCCCCAUCCUUUUUCUAUGCAAUGUCUGCCCAUAUUUUAGAGUUUAUCUCAAUUCCCUUCUUCUCCCUUUCAAAAAUAUUUUAACCAAUCAUUUUAAAAAUCGGGAAUUUAUUGAAUUCUUACUCAGAAUCAAGACUCUUCUGGUAUUAAAGGAAGAAGACAUAGAGAACAUCAGGAAAGUACAUGCACAUGCUCACUCACAGACUGGAUAGUGCCUGUGUGUGAGGCUCUGUGCAAGAUUUUGUGUAAACCACACUGAAUGAAACAAAGUUCCUGCCCAAACUUUCAGAUGGGCUUCUUUCACUUAGUAAUACACAUUUGAGGGUCCUCUAUGUCUUUUUAUGGCUUAAUAACUAAUUUAUUUUAGCACUGAAUAAUAUUCCAUUGUUUGAACGUACCAUAGUUUAUUUAUCUUUACUUACUGAAGGACAUUUCAGUUUCACCCAAGUUUUGGCAAUUAUGAAUAAAGCUGCUAUAAGCAUCCAUCCACAUGCAGGUGUUUGUGUGGAUAUAAGUUAACUAUGCCAUUUUAAAACCUUAGAUUUAUAUAAAUUUUAAAGAUUAUUGGAGACUCCAAAUGUAGUUCUGUUACUUGCUAUCCUUACCAAGUUUGUACAUGUUUGGAACUUUCUAGAAUAUUGUCAAUUAAAAGAAAUAAAAACA
This is a long non-coding RNA of Felis catus (domestic cat), 5726 nucleotides long. RefSeq lists it as uncharacterized. The record is from RefSeq and is a predicted model, not a curated record. The transcript is spliced from 5 exons. Lineage: Eukaryota; Metazoa; Chordata; Mammalia; Carnivora; Felidae.